ACUCCUACGGGAGGCAGCAGUGGGGAAUAUUGCACAAUGGGGGAAACCCUGAUGCAGCCAUGCCGCGUGUGUGAAGAAGGCCUUCGGGUUGUAAAGCACUUUCAGUAGGGAGGAAGGUAGUGUAGUUAACACCUGCACUAUUUGACGUUACCUACAGAAGAAGCACCGGCUAACUCCGUGCCAGCAGCCGCGGUAAUACGGAGGGUGCGAGCGUUAAUCGGAAUUACUGGGCGUAAAGCGCAUGCAGGCGGCCUGUUAAGUCAGAUGUGAAAGCCCGGGGCUUAACCUCGGAAUUGCAUUUGAAACUGGCAGGCUAGAGUCUUGUAGAGGGGGGUAGAAUUUCAGGUGUAGCGGUGAAAUGCGUAGAGAUCUGAAGGAAUACCAGUGGCGAAGGCGGCCCCCUGGACAAAGACUGACGCUCAGAUGCGAAAGCGUGGGGAGCAAAACAGGAUUAGAUACCCUGGUAGCACAGAG
This 474-nucleotide ribosomal RNA is filed under the name uncultured bacterium. Its description in RNAcentral is "bacterial SSU rRNA". It matches the Rfam family "Bacterial small subunit ribosomal RNA", at positions 335 to 799 of the family's 1533-position model. The record is from RNAcentral.